UGUCUUAGUUACGGCGAGUGAAGCGGCAAAAGCUCAAAUUUGAAAUCUGGUACCUUCGGUGCCCGAGUUGUAAUUUGGAGAGGGCAACUUUGGGGCCGUUCCUUGUCUAUGUUCCUUGGAACAGGACGUCAUAGAGGGUGAGAAUCCCGUGUGGCGAGGAGUGCGGUUCUUUGUAAAGUGCCUUCGAAGAGUCGAGUUGUUUGGGAAUGCAGCUCUAAGUGGGUGGUAAAUUCCAUCUAAAGCUAAAUAUUGGCGAGAGACCGAUAGCGAACAAGUACAGUGAUGGAAAGAUGAAAAGAACUUUGAAAAGAGAGUGAAAAAGUACGUGAAAUUGUUGAAAGGGAAGGGCAUUUGAUCAGACAUGGUGUUUUGUGCCCUCUGCUCCUUGUGGGUAGGGGAAUCUCGCAUUUCACUGGGCCAGCAUCAGUUUUGGUGGCAGGAUAAAUCCAUAGGAAUGUAGCUUGCCUCGGUAAGUAUUAUAGCCUGUGGGAAUACUGCCAGCUGGGACUGAGGACUGCGACGUAAGUCAAGGAUGCUGGCAUAAUGGUUAUAUGCCGCCCGUCUUGAACCACCCGAAACCA
This 581-nucleotide ribosomal RNA is filed under the name Saccharomyces cerevisiae (brewer's yeast). RNAcentral's name for it is "partial large subunit ribosomal RNA". It matches the Rfam family "Eukaryotic large subunit ribosomal RNA", at positions 76 to 669 of the family's 3401-position model. Lineage: Eukaryota; Fungi; Ascomycota; Saccharomycetes; Saccharomycetales; Saccharomycetaceae. The record is from RNAcentral.